UUUGAUCCUGCCUCAGGACGAACGCUGGCGGCGUGCUUACCACAUGCAAGUCGAACGAAUGAACUUCAGUGGACCUCUUCGGAAAGAAACAGAAAUGAUUUAGUGGCGAACGGGUGAGUAACACGUGAGAAACCUGCCUAUCACAAGGGGAUAGCCUCCGGAAACGGUGAUUAAUACCCUAUGACAUCACAAUAUCGCAUGGUAUAGUGAUCAAAGAUUUAUCGGUGAUAGAUGGUCUUGCGGCUGAUUAGCUAGUUGGUAAGGUAACUGCUUACCAAGGCAACGAUCAGUAUCCGGCUUGAGAGGGUGAACGGCCACACUGGAACUGAGACACGGUCCAGACUCCUACGGGAGGCAGCAGUGGGGAAUUUUGCACAAUGGGGGAAACCCUGAUGCAGCGACGUCGCGUGAACGAUGAAGGCCUUCGGGUUGUAAAGUUCUGUCCUUGGCGAAGAUAAUGACAGUAGCCAAGAAGCAAGCCCCGGCUAAAUACGUGCCAGCAGCCGCGGUAAUACGUAUGGGGCGAGCGUUGUCCGGAAUUAUUGGGCGUAAAGGGUACGUAGGCGGUUAUGUGGGUCCGUAUUAAAAGGCAUUGGCUCAACCAAUGUUCGGUGUGGAAACUGCAUAACUUGAGUAGAUGAGGGGUAAGUGGAAUUCCUAGUGUAGCGGUGAAAUGCUUAGAUAUUAGGAGGAAUACCAGUGGCGAAGGCGACUUACUGGAAUCUAACUGACGCUGAGGUACGAAAGCGUGGGGAGCAAACAGGAUUAGAUACCCUGGUAGUCCACGCCGUAAACGAUGAGUGCUAGGUGUCGGGGGUCAAACCUCGGUGCCGUCGUAACACAGUAAGC
RNAcentral lists this ribosomal RNA (849 nucleotides) under uncultured bacterium. RNAcentral describes it as "bacterial SSU rRNA". It matches the Rfam family "Bacterial small subunit ribosomal RNA", at positions 12 to 865 of the family's 1533-position model. The record is from RNAcentral.